Cryptotermes secundus is the source of this 634-nucleotide RNA transcript. RefSeq lists it as uncharacterized. Lineage: Eukaryota; Metazoa; Arthropoda; Insecta; Blattodea; Kalotermitidae. The record is from RefSeq and is a predicted model, not a curated record. The transcript is spliced from 3 exons.
UUGUGUAUUUAUUUAUUUUCUGCUCAUAAGUUGUAAUUAUGAGUGUAUUUUAUAAAAGUAAAUUGCAUUAUAUUAUUGUAUGUUCGUAUGUUUAAUUUUAGGGACUAAAGCGGCAGAGAGAUGGAAUGAUCGAGGACAAGACAAGAGGAGGACAAGAAAAUCUGUGCGAAAAGAUAGAGAAGUGACAAUUAAACUACUGAAAGAUGGAAAAGAAGAUCGUGCGAAGAUACUGAUGACGAGGGUGAAAUGCAAAGAGCGAGAUCUUCAAGAGUCUUAUGGCCAGCUGAGGAACUUGCAGGAGCGUGUGUACACCAUGGAAUUGGCCCUAAUUUUAUGCAGAUAAAGUUUCAUCGUUCUAAUAAAAGUUUUCUCUUGAGUAAUGCUGAAAGCUGGGACACCCCAGUUAAUCAACGCAGCACUCGGGACACAAGAAAAGAACCAGGGACGAAUGCAGCAAUCGUUGCCUCAAACUGUGUAGGGUAAAGAGGGGACGAGCUACUAAGUUUUUUCACUGAACAUAAUACCUACCUACAACUCAGCGCUACAGCACUGGGUGAGCCACUGCCUCCUUUACAACCAGUCUCCACAACCAAUGCGUGCUGCCAUAGGAAUGGAUCCACUCAUGAUGACCAGA